This 63-nucleotide transfer RNA is filed under the name Cherax punctatus. RNAcentral's name for it is "tRNA-Thr". It matches the Rfam family "tRNA". From Rfam's summary of the family: Transfer RNA (tRNA) molecules are approximately 80 nucleotides in length. Their secondary structure includes four short double-helical elements and three loops (D, anti-codon, and T loops). The record is from RNAcentral. Lineage: Eukaryota; Metazoa; Arthropoda; Malacostraca; Decapoda; Parastacidae.
GUUUUAAUAGUUUAACAAAAAUUUUGGUUUUGUAAACCAAAGAUGAACAACCUUCUUAAAACU